UACAGAGGCCUCAAGCGUUGUUCGGAUUCAUUGGGCGUAAAGGGUGCGUAGGUGGCGCGCUAAGUCAGGUGUGAAAUUUCGGAGCUUAACUCCGAAACUGCAUUUGAUACUGGCGUGCUUGAGGACUGGAGAGGAGACUGGAAUUCAUGGUGUAGCAGUGAAAUGCGUAGAGAUCAUGAGGAAGACCAGUGGCGAAGGCGGGUCUCUGGACAGUUCCUGACACUGAGGCACGAAGGCCAGGGGAGCAAACGGG
Molecule: ribosomal RNA, 253 nt
Filed under: uncultured bacterium
Lineage: Bacteria
Description: partial 16S ribosomal RNA
Rfam family: Bacterial small subunit ribosomal RNA
Source: RNAcentral